This 635-nucleotide transfer-messenger RNA is filed under the name Clostridiaceae. RNAcentral describes it as "Clostridium_H botulinum_B Intron(7) tmRNA". The stretch from base 10 to 344 matches the Rfam family "transfer-messenger RNA". From Rfam's summary of the family: Bacterial tmRNA, also known as 10Sa RNA or SsrA, is named for its dual tRNA and mRNA-like properties. Its role is to liberate the mRNA from a stalled ribosome. The record is from RNAcentral. Lineage: Bacteria; Bacillati; Bacillota; Clostridia; Eubacteriales. RNAcentral also lists the same sequence under 2 other names.
GGGGGCGUACAUGGCUUUCGACGGGGGUAUGUUGUGCUACAGAAGCGAGUCGAUGGUUCCCUGGACCAGCGUUAAAAAACUGGGGAUUUAAAUGUAAACGCAGAAGAUAAUUUUGCAUUAGCAGCCUAAUAUAGCUGCUCGUUCUACCUAAGAGUCCCACGACUUAGGAUAGGGCGUCGACUAGUGGGGAACCGCACCUAGGAAAGCUUUGACCUAGGGACGGAAUUUAUGAAGCUACUGAAAUUUCAAUCCUGUCAGUGGGAGUGAAACGUAGGGAAUGUCAAAAUACUGACUGCACUCGGAGAUGCUGUAGUGUUGCUACUUUCGGACAGGGGUUCGAUUCAUGAAAGAGUCGCCUUAUGAAGUGAUUCAUAAGUGAAAACUUGGCUUUAUCGGUGAAACCGUAACAUACUAAGAUGACGGCAAUACCGAGGGGUAUGUAGGGAAAUCUAACAGCCCCGUAUCGACUUAUAGGCUUCUAAGUUCUCUAGGGAGAAUAUGAGGUACUAGGAUAGAAGGUUACAACUAAACUAUACUUCUAUAAUACGCCAAGGGGCUUAAUUGGAAAAUUAAGUUCGAGAUAUAGUCAGCGCUAUUGGAAAACAAUGGAACAAAGUGUCCCCUCGCCUCCACCA